GCUGAGAAGACAACGACAAAAACAGAGGAGCGUGGAACUGAAGAAGGCUUCCCUGAGAGCUGCUGCUGCACGUGCGGAGUGCUCCGCAAUGAACAGCCUUGUGGAGAUGAUGCAGAAGCUGCAGCUGAAGGACUGAGAGGACGAGCAUCAGCAGGCAGCGCUGCAGUGCGCGGCGUUACAGGGCAGCGUUCGAGUGCCGCCCAACUCGGCACCACAAAUUUGGUUGUAGUCAAUAAAAAACAGCCACAAUUAGACAUCGACAAA
Long non-coding RNA from Tympanuchus pallidicinctus (lesser prairie-chicken), 264 nucleotides. RefSeq lists it as uncharacterized. The transcript has 2 exons. The record is from RefSeq and is a predicted model, not a curated record. NCBI's taxonomy places the organism in Eukaryota, Metazoa, Chordata, Aves, Galliformes, Phasianidae.